This 253-nucleotide ribosomal RNA is filed under the name uncultured bacterium. RNAcentral describes it as "partial 16S ribosomal RNA". It matches the Rfam family "Bacterial small subunit ribosomal RNA", at positions 524 to 776 of the family's 1533-position model. The record is from RNAcentral.
UACAGAGGUCUCAAGCGUUGUUCGGAAUCAUUGGGCGUAAAGCGCGUGUAGGCGGCCCGGUAAGUCCGCUGUGAAAGUCCAGGGCUCAACCCUGGGAUGCCGGUGGAUACUGUCGGGCUCGAGUCCGGAAGAGGCGAGUGGAAUUCCUGGUGUAGCGGUGAAAUGCGCAGAUAUCAGGAGGAACACCAAUGGCGAAGGCAGCUCGCUGGGACGUGACUGACGCUGAGACGCGAAAGCGUGGGGAGCAAACAGG